Long non-coding RNA from Spinacia oleracea (spinach), 501 nucleotides. RefSeq lists it as uncharacterized. NCBI's taxonomy places the organism in Eukaryota, Viridiplantae, Streptophyta, Magnoliopsida, Caryophyllales, Amaranthaceae. The transcript is spliced from 3 exons. The record is from RefSeq and is a predicted model, not a curated record.
AAACAAAAAAAUGUCGCUGAAUAAAACCAAAAGGAAAUUUUUGAUAAAAUAAAAGGGCUUUUUGGCUGCUUAACCUAGGUUCACAAAACUGAUAAUUAUAUCCACUUCGAUUGUUCACCGUCUUAUUCGUCUACUUGAUGUUCUUCAGCGAAACUUUGGAUUGGAAUUGUUUUAUGAGAGAUGUACACAUCAACUACAGUAUCACGGUGUUGGCAAAUACUUACAGGAGAAUAUUAUGGAUCAUAUUUUUUUCUGGUUGGUAGAUAGAAGGAGAAUGGUAGAUAAAAGGAUGGCAAGAAGGGCAUAGAUUGAAUUUUUUGGACUGAUUUUUGGCAAAUAAAUUAAAUACUAGAUAGCUUUUAGAUUGCUUGAACCAUUAGUUUUUCGAGAUUCAUUAGUUUUCUAAUUGAUGUAUUUAUAAAUUAACACUUGUUUUUGUUAUUAGAAUGAUUGUUAUGGAUAUUUUAUUUUAAUAAUAAGUAGAACUUUAUUUCAAAUAAA